Molecule: long non-coding RNA, 932 nt
Filed under: Mustela putorius furo (domestic ferret)
Lineage: Eukaryota; Metazoa; Chordata; Mammalia; Carnivora; Mustelidae
Description: lncRNA (ENSMPUG00000027360.1)
Source: RNAcentral
GCAUGUUCCUCAGAUAUGCUGGGUUAGGAUCUAGUGGGGCAGGGGUGGAGGAGAGGGAACCUGAUUUUUAAAUAUGACCCCCCAUGUCACUUUCAUGUUCCUUGGUUAGGAGCCAGUGCCAGGCACAGGCCCUGGGUUCAAAUCCCACCUUAAAGCCAUUCUGCAGUCUGGCCAAGGUGCUUCACUCUCUGGGCCUCAAAACCUUCAGCGGCGAACCAGCAUCAUAGAAACCGGGCAUCAGCCACGACCACAUGUGGGCUACAAGAAGGCCAGUGGAAGCUUUUCAUGCAAAGAGCUUAGCCUGGGCCUGGUGCCUAGUAGGUGCUCAGUACCCCCAGGGGGCUGCCCAGGGUGCCACCCCUUCUCAACGCCCUCUCUAGGAGAGUACCCAAAUUUCAGCAGGGAAUGCGAGAUCCCACAGAAUGCUCUGCCCGUCUCCUCCAGGCACUGACCUGGACCUCGAGAUCCUGACCAUGAAAGGUUAGGUGCAAAUGACGCACUCGAGGAAAAGCCAUGUCAUUCUUCCAUCACUGUCUAGAGGAGGGGACAGAGGCCCAGAGAGGCGCAGGGAGCUGUGGCGGGAAAGGUGGCUGAGAGGGGCCCAGCCCCAUGCCUGGGCAGGCAGCAAAGAGCACUGGCUGGUUCACACGUCCAGACUGAAUCCUUGCUCCCUGCUGGACUCCCAGGCUCACCCCAGGCCUGGCCCUUGUCUCAGGCAACGCUCAAGGGACAGAGCAUGGCUGAACCCCUCCACAGCUCCUGCCUUCCACCUGGACACACGGCGCUCUGUUAAAGUGGGGGUUCAGCCCAGCCUGGCCCCCAGCCAGUGCCGCCCCGCACCUCCUACCCAGCUCCUGCUUAGGUUGAGGGAGGACCGAGAAGAGGGUGUUGGGCCCACCAGCCCCGGGAGCCAUGUGGGAGGGGAGGAGGCC